AUGCUCAACCGCAAGACCAGCCACUUUUUGGGAAUGCGGGUGCAGUCGGAGCUUGAACAUCUCUCCGAGCUGCGGCGGGAAGCGGGGAAGGAUCGCAGCUCAGUGCGUGGGUCGGCCGCACGGACGCGAGCGAGUGUGCGGACCCAGUCGACGACGACGACGGCGGCGGCGGCGGCGAAAGCGGAUGAAGACCCCGGAGCCAACUUGUUUCCGCCGCCGCUGCCCCGACCCCGGAUCUGCAUGUGGAAGUACCUGGACAUCCAUUCCAUGCACCAGCUGGAGAAGACCACCAAUGCUGAGGAGAUGAGGGAGUAGGGACUGAGGGGGGCACGGGAAGAGCUCUUGGCAAAGGCUGAGGGGUCAGGUUGGGAAAACAUGAGGAAUGGCUGACUCCAAAGCAUGUGGUGGGUGUAGGGUGAUGAAAGGAGGCCCAGUUGUCACUCACUCCUCUCUCCCUCCCAAGGGUGCUGGCUGAGCUGCUGGAGCUAGGGUGUCCUGAGCAGAGCCUGCGGGAUGCCGUCACCCUGGACCUCUUCUGCCACGCGCUCAUUUUCUGCCGCCAGCAGGGCUUCUCACUGGAGCAGACGUCAGCGGCUUGUGCCCUGCUCCAGGAUCUUCACAAGGCUUGUAUUGCAACCCCCUUGGGCAACGUGGAGGAGUGCUACCGCUACUUCACCAGUGUCCUUUUUUGCCAUGGAGUCAGGCGGCCUCCUUUUAGCAUCGACCUCUUCAAAGAGGAACAGCUGCUGGCCUUGGAAGACUACGUGGUCAACACUUACUUUCGCCACUUCAAGCUCUAUAAAUACGUCUUCACACCCCAGGUGCGGCUGGAUCUGUCUUUGACUUACAUGGGGCUGCAGCCACCCAAACUGUGGCCAGAGAGUGAGACAGGUAAGGGAGAGUGCCAGGGCAGGGCUGGGCUGGGCCAGGCCUGGGGCCACAGUCUCUUCCUGCUUCUGGUUUGCAGAGAAAGAAGAAAGCAAGGAGGUGGAGGAGCAGGCAGUUACCCCGCGGAAAGAGGAACUAGAGACGGUGGCCCCGCCAGAGCCAGAGCCAAGCCACGUCCACAUCCUCCGAGCCUACAUCAAGACCCAAGUGAACAAGGAGCUGGAGCAGCUCCAGCAGCUGGUGGAGGAGCGGCUCAAGGCCAGCGAGGAAAGGCUCAGCAGCAAGUUGACUGCACUAGAGCGGCCCUUCCAGCUACCUCCGGGUAAAGGCAAGAGCAAGACCAAGUGACCCCCAGCA
This 1245-nucleotide small RNA is filed under the name Pongo abelii (Sumatran orangutan). RNAcentral's name for it is "retained intron". Lineage: Eukaryota; Metazoa; Chordata; Mammalia; Primates; Hominidae. The record is from RNAcentral.